RNAcentral lists this transfer RNA (86 nucleotides) under Puccinia triticina. Its description in RNAcentral is "tRNA-Thr". It matches the Rfam family "tRNA". From Rfam's summary of the family: Transfer RNA (tRNA) molecules are approximately 80 nucleotides in length. Their secondary structure includes four short double-helical elements and three loops (D, anti-codon, and T loops). The record is from RNAcentral. Lineage: Eukaryota; Fungi; Basidiomycota; Pucciniomycetes; Pucciniales; Pucciniaceae. RNAcentral also lists the same sequence under 1 other name.
GCGUCUGUAGCCUAGUUGGUAAAGGCAGCACUCUAGUAUGUGUCUUAGCGUAGCUGAGGUUGUGGGUUUGACUCUCACCAGACACA